UCCAGACUCCUACGGGAGGCAGCAGUGGGGGAUAUUGCACAAUGGGGGAAACCCUGAUGCAGCGACGCCGCGUGGGCGAAGAAGUAUUUCGGUAUGUAAAGCCCUCUCGGCAGGGAAGAAGGAAUGACGGUACCUGAAUAAGAAGCACCGGCUAAAUACGUGCCAGCAGCCGCGGUAAUACGUAUGGUGCAAGCGUUAUCCGGAUUUACUGGGCGUAAAGGGAGCGCAGGCGGCGCGCCAAGUCUGAUGUGAAACCCCGGGGCUCAACCCCGGGCAUGCAUUGGAAACUGGCGGGCUGGAGUGCCGGAGAGGUAAGCGGAAUUCCUAGUGUAGCGGUGAAAUGCGUAGAUAUUAGGAGGAACACCAGUGGCGAAGGCGGCUUACUGGACGGCAACUGACGCUGAGGCUCGAAAGCGUGGGGAGCAAACAGGAUUAGAUACCCGUGUAAC
RNAcentral lists this ribosomal RNA (449 nucleotides) under uncultured bacterium. RNAcentral describes it as "partial 16S ribosomal RNA". It matches the Rfam family "Bacterial small subunit ribosomal RNA", at positions 330 to 794 of the family's 1533-position model. The record is from RNAcentral.